Molecule: small nucleolar RNA, 92 nt
Organism: Bufo gargarizans (Asiatic toad)
Lineage: Eukaryota; Metazoa; Chordata; Amphibia; Anura; Bufonidae
Product: small nucleolar RNA SNORD35
Exons: 1
Source: RefSeq, a predicted model, not a curated record
UGCAAAUGAUGUUUUACUCACGAUGGUCUUCCAAGUCUCACUGGUGAAGAGGCUCUGACGAUAGUGCCAGAUGGCUUUGCUGAUGUCUAUGC